RNAcentral lists this small RNA (74 nucleotides) under unclassified sequences. RNAcentral's name for it is "dfrA-dnaX RNA". It matches the Rfam family "dfrA-dnaX RNA". The record is from Rfam by way of RNAcentral.
AAACUUUUUGUAAGGACUAUUAAUUUCACCAUAAUUACCAUAAAAAAAUAAUCAAAAGGGAAUUAUGGUAUAAU